UGGGGAAUAUUGCACAAUGGGCGCAAGCCUGAUGCAGCCAUGCCGCGUGUGUGAAGAAGGCCUUCGGGUUGUAAAGCACUUUCAGCGAGGAGGAAGGGUUCAGUGUUAAUAGCACUGUUCAUUGACGUUACUCGCAGAAGAAGCACCGGCUAACUCCGUGCCAGCAGCCGCGGUAAUACGGAGGGUGCAAGCGUUAAUCGGAAUUACUGGGCGUAAAGCGCACGCAGGCGGUUUGUUAAGUCAGAUGUGAAAUCCCCGCGCUUAACGUGGAACUGCAUUUGAAACUGGCAAGCUAGAGUCUUGUAGAGGGGGGUAGAAUUCCAGGUGUAGCGGUGAAAUGCGUAGAGAUCUGGAGGAAUACCGGUGGCGAAGGCGGCCCCCUGGACAAAGACUGACGCUCAGGUGCGAAAGCGUGGGGAGCAAAACAGGAUUAGAUACCCUGGUAGUCCACGCUGUAAACGAUGUCGACUUGGAGGUUGUGCCCUUGAGGCGUGGCUUCCGGAGCUAACGCGUUAAGUCGNCCGCCUGGGGGAGUACGGCCGCAAGGU
Molecule: ribosomal RNA, 548 nt
Filed under: uncultured bacterium
Lineage: Bacteria
Description: partial 16S ribosomal RNA
Rfam family: Bacterial small subunit ribosomal RNA
Source: RNAcentral